Molecule: ribosomal RNA, 468 nt
Filed under: uncultured bacterium
Lineage: Bacteria
Description: partial 16S ribosomal RNA
Rfam family: Bacterial small subunit ribosomal RNA
Source: RNAcentral
GACGAACGCUGGCGGCGUGCUUAACACAUGCAAGUCGAACGGAAAGGCCCUGCUUUUGUGGGGUGCUCGAGUGGCGAACGGGUGAGUAACACGUGAGUAACCUGCCCUUGACUUUGGGAUAACUUCAGGAAACUGGGGCUAAUACCGGAUAGGAGCUCCUGCUGCAUGGUGGGGGUUGGAAAGUUUCGGCGGUUGGGGAUGGACUCGCGGCUUAUCAGCUUGUUGGUGGGGUAGUGGCUUACCAAGGCUUUGACGGGUAGCCGGCCUGAGAGGGUGACCGGCCACAUGGGGACUGAGAUACGGCCCGGACGCCUACGGGAGGCAGCAGUGGGGAAUAUUGCACAAUGGGCGGAAGCCUGAUGCAGCCACGCCGCGUGGGGGAUGACGGCCUUCGGGUUGUAAACCGCUUUCGCCUGUGACGAAGCGUGAGGGACGGUAAUGGGUAAAGAAGCACCGGCUAACUACGUG